GCGAAUAUAGAUUAAUGGUAGAUUAUCUGCCUUCCAAGCAGAUGGUAUGAGUUCGAGUCUCAUUGUUCGCA
RNAcentral lists this transfer RNA (71 nucleotides) under Flavobacteriales bacterium. Its description in RNAcentral is "tRNA-Gly". It matches the Rfam family "tRNA". From Rfam's summary of the family: Transfer RNA (tRNA) molecules are approximately 80 nucleotides in length. Their secondary structure includes four short double-helical elements and three loops (D, anti-codon, and T loops). Further hydrogen bonds mediate the characteristic L-shaped molecular structure. tRNAs have two regions of fundamental functional importance: the anti-codon, which is responsible for specific mRNA codon recognition, and the 3' end, to which the tRNAs corresponding amino acid is attached (by aminoacyl-tRNA synthetases). tRNAs cope with the degeneracy of the genetic code in two manners: having more than one tRNA (with a specific anti-codon) for a particular amino acid; and 'wobble' base-pairing, i.e. permitting non-standard base-pairing at the 3rd anti-codon position. Lineage: Bacteria; Pseudomonadati; Bacteroidota; Flavobacteriia; Flavobacteriales. The record is from RNAcentral.